GGUUUCAUAGUGUAGGUGGUUAUCACAUCAGAUUCUGAAGCUAAAUCCUUGUGUCCAAGGUAUUCAGAUAGUCCUUCUGGGGACCUGGGUUCGAGUCCCAGUGAGACCU
This is a non-coding RNA of Acaromyces ingoldii, 109 nucleotides long. The record is from the annotation of a RefSeq genome assembly. NCBI's taxonomy places the organism in Eukaryota, Fungi, Basidiomycota, Exobasidiomycetes, Exobasidiales, Cryptobasidiaceae.